UAUAUUUAGGUGUUUAGCACAUGGGAUUUUGAUUUCCAAGGUUUUAGUUAAUUUCUAAAAAAUAUAA
Molecule: transfer RNA, 67 nt
Filed under: Lasiolabops cosmopolites
Lineage: Eukaryota; Metazoa; Arthropoda; Insecta; Hemiptera; Miridae
Description: tRNA-Gln
Rfam family: tRNA
About the family: Transfer RNA (tRNA) molecules are approximately 80 nucleotides in length. Their secondary structure includes four short double-helical elements and three loops (D, anti-codon, and T loops).
Source: RNAcentral